Molecule: long non-coding RNA, 367 nt
Organism: Alligator mississippiensis (American alligator)
Lineage: Eukaryota; Metazoa; Chordata; Crocodylia; Alligatoridae
Exons: 3
Source: RefSeq, a predicted model, not a curated record
GCCCAGGUGGUUUUCUCUUCCAUCCUACCAGUGACCGGACGAGGAAGACGGCAGGAGAACUGUAUCAGAGAGACCAACUGGCGGCUUCGGCAGUGGUGUCUCAAGGCAGGCUUCGGCUUCCUGGACAAUGACCCGCACAUCACGACGAGGGACAUGCUCAGCUGGGAUGGGCUUCACCUGUCCCCCAAAGGGGGUCGAACUCGAUGAUCUAUUGAGGUCCCUUCCGACCCUAACAUCUAUGAAUCUAUGAAUCAAACAGCAGACCCUCGAUCCUGGGACUCAACCCAAGCUGUGACAAGAUAAAGUUCCCACUAAAGUCAGAGAUGUUUUGCGGAGUUUACCUGUAAUGAAAGAUCAGCUUCUGGGC